AGCGAACGCUGGCGGCAGGCCUAACACAUGCAAGUCGAACGAACUCUUCGGAGUUAGUGGCGGACGGGUGAGUAACACGUGGGAACGUGCCUUUAGGUUCGGAAUAACUCAGGGAAACUUGUGCUAAUACCGAAUGUGCCCUUCGGGGGAAAGAUUUAUCGCCUUUGGAGCGGCCCGCGUCUGAUUAGCUGGUUGGUGAGGUAAAGGCUCACCAAGGCGACGAUCAGUAGCUGGUCUGAGAGGAUGAUCAGCCACAUUGGGACUGAGACACGGCCCAAACUCCUACGGGAGGCAGCAGUGGGGAAUCUUGCGCAAUGGGCGAAAGCCUGACGCAGCCAUGCCGCGUGAAUGAUGAAGGUCUUAGGAUUGUAAAAUUCUUUCACCGGGGACGAUAAUGACGGUACCCGGAGAAGAAGCCCCGGCUAACUUCGUG
This 433-nucleotide ribosomal RNA is filed under the name uncultured bacterium. RNAcentral describes it as "partial 16S ribosomal RNA". It matches the Rfam family "Bacterial small subunit ribosomal RNA", at positions 29 to 507 of the family's 1533-position model. The record is from RNAcentral.